This 253-nucleotide ribosomal RNA is filed under the name uncultured bacterium. RNAcentral's name for it is "partial 16S ribosomal RNA". It matches the Rfam family "Bacterial small subunit ribosomal RNA", at positions 524 to 776 of the family's 1533-position model. The record is from RNAcentral.
UACGGAGGAUCCGAGCGUUAUCCGGAUUUAUUGGGUUUAAAGGGUCCGUAGGCGGAUCUGUAAGUCAGUGGUGAAAUCUCACAGCUUAACUGUGAAACUGCCAUUGAUACUGCAGGUCUUGAGUGUUAUUGAAGUAGCUGGAAUAAGUAGUGUAGCGGUGAAAUGCAUAGAUAUUACUUAGAACACCAAUUGCGAAGGCAGGUUACUAAGCAACAACUGACGCUGAUGGACGAAAGCGUGGGGAGCGAACAGG